AUUGAACGCUGGCGGCAUGCCUUACACAUGCAAGUCGAACGGCAGCACGGGAGCAAUCCUGGUUGCGAGUGGCGAACGGGUGAGUAAUAUAUCGGAAUGUGCCCAGUCGUGGGAGAUAACGCAGCGAAAGCUGUGCUAAUACCGCAUACGCUCUACGGAUGAAAGCGGGGUAUGGCAAGACCGUGCGCGAUUGGAGCGGACGAUAUCAGAUUAGCUAGUUGGAGGGGUAAAGGCCCACCAAGGCGACGAUCUGUAGCUGGUCUGAGAGGACGACCAGCCACACUGGAACUGAGACACGGUCCAGACUCCUACGGGAGGCAGCAGUGGGGAAUUUUGGACAAUGGGCGCAAGCCUGAUCCAGCAAUGCCGCGUGCAGGAUGAAGGCCUUCGGGUUGUAAACUGCUUUUGUACGGAACGAGACGGCCCUUUCUAAUACAGGGGGCUAAUGACGGUACCGUAGGAAUAAGCACCGGCUAACUACGUGCCAGCCGCCGCCGUAA
This 500-nucleotide ribosomal RNA is filed under the name uncultured bacterium. RNAcentral's name for it is "partial 16S ribosomal RNA". It matches the Rfam family "Bacterial small subunit ribosomal RNA", at positions 30 to 523 of the family's 1533-position model. The record is from RNAcentral.